GACGAACCGUGCGAACGUUGUUCGGAAUCACUGGGCUUAAAGGGCGCGUAGGCGGCUGUUCAAGUCCGGGGUGAAAGCCCCCAGCUCAACUGGGGAAGUGCCUCGGAUACUGGAUGGCUCGAGGGAGGUAGGGGCAGGGGGAACUUCUGGUGGAGCGGUGAAAUGCGUUGAUAUCAGAAGGAACGCCGGUGGCGAAAGCGCCCUGCUGGAUCUCUACUGACGCUGAGGCGCGAAAGCCAGGGGAGCGAACGGG
Molecule: ribosomal RNA, 253 nt
Filed under: uncultured bacterium
Lineage: Bacteria
Description: partial 16S ribosomal RNA
Rfam family: Bacterial small subunit ribosomal RNA
Source: RNAcentral